This 45-nucleotide small RNA is filed under the name Archaeoglobus fulgidus. Lineage: Archaea; Methanobacteriati; Methanobacteriota; Archaeoglobi; Archaeoglobales; Archaeoglobaceae. The record is from RNAcentral.
AAAUUUUUCAGGUUCAACGGGUCGGAGAGAAAAGAAGAUACAAUA